Molecule: long non-coding RNA, 1156 nt
Organism: Panicum virgatum (switchgrass)
Lineage: Eukaryota; Viridiplantae; Streptophyta; Magnoliopsida; Poales; Poaceae
Exons: 3
Source: RefSeq, a predicted model, not a curated record
AUUGCCUGCAGAUUGGUGAAAGGGGUGGGAAUCCAGGGUGCCGGUCAUUGCGCCAGGGAUCCCGUGCACCUGGAACCAAGGGGUGGAGGUUUACAGCAAGGAGUUGAAGUCCGACGAACCGGCUUAGAGUCCCAAUGUCGUCGAGCGGGACAGUGUUUUGGCGACUGGGAAUUCCACUCCAAACCUAGGUUCAGCUGAAUCCAGUAAAUAUCUGCAGCACGGUCAGGCUUGGAUGUUGUGGGGGUGUUGCUGGAAUCAACCCUUUACCACUAUCAAGAUAUUGGCUGUUCUUUCCAACAACUGCUGUAUGGUGUCACCUAUGGAAAUGUUCCUGUUAGUGAUGUAGACACUCAAAAUCCACAGUACAAUAGAGAUGCAACUGUUAGCAGGUUCAGAGAAUGCUAGUUUGUCUGUUGGCGCCAAUGAUGAUGAGAUCGAUGAAGGGAUGGACAGUGGCUACUUGCCUACUUGGAAACUGAAGAAUGUGUGUCAGAACGUGAUGUGGAAACAUCUGAAGGCACAUACUUGCAAACUGCAGAUGAUGACACAGGCUGUGACACGUCGUGAAUUAACGGGGUCACAAGCAGAAUUCCUAGUGAAAAGGAAUUGGUAUAGAUUGACAAGGAUACAUUUUUCCUCUGGUGAACUAGUCAAAAUGGGAGAGAAGAAGAAUGGAGCUCGACCAAUGAAUGAUGGAUCAGGUCAGCCGGCCUUGACGUAGAUCACAACUCGGAGGCUGCUAUACUCCGGCGCCGCCUCCAUGGCGUCGCUGAUGCUCAGGUGCGUCCUGCUGCCGUCCUUGCAGCCACGAGGAGCGCCGGCCGCUGUGUUUCACCCACCAUGUCGCGUGGCGUUGAGCGACAUGGGCACGAGGAUGAGCAGGCGGCAGCGGCGGCGGUUGCUCUGGGCGGCGCAUCCGCGCUGAGACCGUAUCGGCUCCGGAGAGCCGAACCCGAGCUUUGUAUGGGCCAUGCAUGCAAUGUGAUGGAGUUGGCUCGAUGGUGAUGACCAAGAAAGUCCGGUCCUUGCCUGACAACACGGUGUAUGGUAUGAUCAGAUUGAUUGAUCACGCACGCACCGAGCUGCAUGUUGUAGUUGAAUGGAAUUUGAUGAUUGAUUGACAGACUGUAAUAUGUAGUAUCUCCUAGUCCUAGUA